GAGAGGUCCCUGCCCUCAGCCGUUUAGCUAUUUAAACGUUAUCCCAUCAGACGGUUAAACUAUUCUUCUGAACAUUCUGGUGCUAAACGGAAUGAGGGUAGUCAUCCCUCUCAU
MicroRNA precursor from Medicago truncatula (barrel medic), 114 nucleotides. It matches the Rfam family "MIR5294 microRNA precursor family". Lineage: Eukaryota; Viridiplantae; Streptophyta; Magnoliopsida; Fabales; Fabaceae. The record is from Rfam.